ACGGAAGGCAGCAGUAGGGAAUAUUGCACAAUGGGGGAAACCCUGAUGCAGCAACGCCACGUGUGGGAAGAAGCAUUUUGGUGUGUAAACCACUGUCGUGAGGGAAUAAUGCUUGGCCUCGGCCAAGCUGAAUGUACCUCGAAAGGAAGCACCGGCAAACUUCGUGCCAGCAGCCGCGGCAAUACGAGGGGUGCAAGCGUUGUUCGGAAUCACUGGGCGUAAAGGGAGCGCAGGCGGAGAUGCAAGCAGUCUGUACAAUACCGGGGCCCAACUCCGGACCUGCAGACUGGACUGUUUCUCUUGGAUAGCUCAGGGGCAAGCGGAAUUCCUGGUGUAGCGGUGGAAUGCGUAGAGAUCAGGAAGAACACCGAUGGCGAAGGCAGCUUGCUGGGGACUUAUCGACGCUCAUGCUCGAAAGUGCGGGUAGCAAACAGGAUUAGAUACCCUGGUA
This 451-nucleotide ribosomal RNA is filed under the name uncultured Fibrobacter sp. RNAcentral describes it as "partial 16S ribosomal RNA". It matches the Rfam family "Bacterial small subunit ribosomal RNA", at positions 341 to 792 of the family's 1533-position model. Lineage: Bacteria; Pseudomonadati; Fibrobacterota; Fibrobacteria; Fibrobacterales; Fibrobacteraceae. The record is from RNAcentral.